GAGGGUUUAGCUCAGUUGGUUUAGAGCGCUUGCUUGACAGGCAAGAGGUCACUGGUUCAAAUCCAGUAAUCCUCACCA
RNAcentral lists this transfer RNA (78 nucleotides) under Bacteroidales bacterium. RNAcentral describes it as "tRNA-Val". It matches the Rfam family "tRNA". Rfam says of the family: Transfer RNA (tRNA) molecules are approximately 80 nucleotides in length. The record is from RNAcentral. Lineage: Bacteria; Pseudomonadati; Bacteroidota; Bacteroidia; Bacteroidales. RNAcentral also lists the same sequence under 1 other name.